RNAcentral lists this ribosomal RNA (480 nucleotides) under uncultured bacterium. RNAcentral's name for it is "partial 16S ribosomal RNA". It matches the Rfam family "Bacterial small subunit ribosomal RNA", at positions 28 to 523 of the family's 1533-position model. The record is from RNAcentral.
GACGAACGCUGGCGGCGUGCUUUAUACAUGCAAGUCGAACGAUGAAGUUCCUUCGGGAAUGGAUUAGUGGCGAACGGGUGAGGAACACGUGAGAAACCUGCCUUUCAUUCUGGGAUAACACCGGGAAACCGGAGCUAAUACCGGAUACUCCGUCUUGGCGGCAUCGCCGAGCCGGGAAAAAAUUUUGAUGAAAGAUGGUCUCGCGGCCUAUCAGCUAGUUGGUGAGGUAAAGGCUCACCAAGGCGACGACGGGUAGCCGGCCUGAGAGGGCGACCGGCCACACUGGGACUGAGACACGGCCCAGGCUCCUACGGGAGGCAGCAGUAGGGAAUAUUGGGCAAUGGGCGCAAGCCUGACCCAGCGACGCCGCGUGAGGGAUGAAGGUCUUCGGAUUGUAAACCUCUUUCAGUAGGGAAGAAGCGAAAGUGACGGUACCUAAAGAAGAAGCACCGGCUAACUAUGUGCCAGCAGCCGCCGUAA